Molecule: non-coding RNA, 104 nt
Filed under: Clostridium cellulovorans
Lineage: Bacteria; Bacillati; Bacillota; Clostridia; Eubacteriales; Clostridiaceae
Also listed under: 1 other name
Description: SAM-I sequence
Rfam family: SAM riboswitch aptamer (S box leader)
About the family: The SAM riboswitch is found upstream of a number of genes which code for proteins involved in methionine or cysteine biosynthesis in Gram-positive bacteria. The SAM riboswitch acts at the level of transcription termination control.
Source: RNAcentral
CACUUAUCAAGAGUGGCGGAGGGACUGGCCCAAAGAUGCCCGGCAACCAAUACAUUGUGUAUAAGGUGCCAAAUCCAGCAGCUGAAGAAGCUGAGAGAUGAGGA